UAAUACGGGGGGAGCAAGCGUUGUUCGGAUUUACUGGGCGUAAAGGGCGCGUAGGCGGCGCGACAAGUCACUUGUGAAAUCUCUGGGCUUAACUCAGAGCGGCCAAGUGAUACUGUCGUGCUAGAGUGCGGAAGGGGCAACUGGAAUUCUCGGUGUAGCGGUGAAAUGCGUAGAUAUCGAGAGGAACACCUGCGGCGAAGGCGGGUUGCUGGGCCGACACUGACGCUGAGGCGCGAAAGCUAGGGGAGCGAACGGGAUUAGAUACCCCGGUAGUCCUAGCCUUAAACGAUGGAUGCUUGGUGUCCGGGGUUUUAUAGUCCCCGGGUGCCGUCGCUAACGCAUUAAGCAUCCCGCCUGGGGAGUACGGUCGCAAGACUG
This 378-nucleotide ribosomal RNA is filed under the name uncultured bacterium. RNAcentral describes it as "bacterial SSU rRNA". It matches the Rfam family "Bacterial small subunit ribosomal RNA", at positions 521 to 896 of the family's 1533-position model. The record is from RNAcentral.